Quercus lobata is the source of this 271-nucleotide long non-coding RNA. RefSeq lists it as uncharacterized. The record is from RefSeq and is a predicted model, not a curated record. Lineage: Eukaryota; Viridiplantae; Streptophyta; Magnoliopsida; Fagales; Fagaceae. The transcript has 3 exons.
UAGACCUUUUCCGAAGUUAAAUCGAAACCCAUACCCAUACCCACACUUUUUCAAUCUCAGCACGGCCGAAGCUCAACCCAAUCUGUCUUCGGAGUUAAAGGAUUGCAAACGUAUUAAGAUAUGCAGCAAGUGGGAAAUGUGGAUCCUGGACCGACGGUUGGUACACAGUUGACGCGGCAGCCGGUUCAUCGAUCCACGCUGCUUUGGGAGACGCCAGCCGGUCAGGUAGUGCCAGGCGUGCUAAACUGCAGACGCCGAAGUUGCAAGUUAC